This 254-nucleotide ribosomal RNA is filed under the name uncultured bacterium. Its description in RNAcentral is "partial 16S ribosomal RNA". It matches the Rfam family "Bacterial small subunit ribosomal RNA", at positions 524 to 776 of the family's 1533-position model. The record is from RNAcentral.
UACGUAGGGUGCGAGCGUUGCCCGGAUUUAUUGGGCGUAAAGAGCUCGUAGGCGGUUCGGUAAGUCGGGUGUGAAACCUCCAGGCUCAACCUGGAGAGGCCACCUGAUACUGCUGUGACUCGAGUCCGGUAGGGGAGCGUGGAAUUCCUGGUGUAGCGGCGAAAUGCGCAGAUAUCAGGAGGAACACCAGCGGCGAAGGCGGCGCUCUGGGCCGGAACUGACGCUGAGGAGCGAAAGCGUGGGUAGCAAACAGG